GGAGAGGUGGGUGAGUGGCUUAAACCAGCUGAUUGCUAAUCAGCCGUACGGAGUAAAUUCGUACCGGGGGUUCGAAUCCCCCUCUCUCCG
Molecule: transfer RNA, 90 nt
Filed under: bacterium
Lineage: Bacteria
Also listed under: 1 other name
Description: tRNA-Ser
Rfam family: tRNA
About the family: Transfer RNA (tRNA) molecules are approximately 80 nucleotides in length. Their secondary structure includes four short double-helical elements and three loops (D, anti-codon, and T loops). Further hydrogen bonds mediate the characteristic L-shaped molecular structure. tRNAs have two regions of fundamental functional importance: the anti-codon, which is responsible for specific mRNA codon recognition, and the 3' end, to which the tRNAs corresponding amino acid is attached (by aminoacyl-tRNA synthetases). tRNAs cope with the degeneracy of the genetic code in two manners: having more than one tRNA (with a specific anti-codon) for a particular amino acid; and 'wobble' base-pairing, i.e. permitting non-standard base-pairing at the 3rd anti-codon position.
Source: RNAcentral